GUGGGGAAUAUUGGGCAAUGGGGGCAACCCUGACCCAGCGACGCCGCGUGAGGGAAGACGGCCUUCGGGUUGUAAACCUCUUUUGUACGGGAAGAAGGAAGUGACGGUACUGUACGAAUAAGUCCCGGCUAACUACGUGCCAGCAGCCGCGGUAAUACGUAGGGGACGAGCGUUGUCCGGAAUUACAGGGCGUAAGGGCGCGCAGGCUGUGCUGCAAGUCAGCUGUGAAAUGUCUGGGCUUAACCCGGGCAUGCGGUUGAGACUGCAGUGCUGGAGUGCUGUAGAGGCAAGUGGAAUUCCCAGUGUAGCGGUGAAAUGCGUAGAUAUUGGGAAGAACACCGGUGGCGAAGGCGACUUGCUGGGCAGCAACUGACGCUGAGGCGCGAAAGCCAGGGGAGCAAACGGGAUUAGAAACCCGGGUAGUCC
Molecule: ribosomal RNA, 426 nt
Filed under: uncultured bacterium
Lineage: Bacteria
Description: partial 16S ribosomal RNA
Rfam family: Bacterial small subunit ribosomal RNA
Source: RNAcentral